GAAAAUCUGUGUCUCUGGCAUACAUACAGUAUGCCAGUAUAAGAAUCCUAUAUGCCGGGAUAGAAUCAGAUUAGUUGUAUCAUGUAGAUGGGCCUGUAUCAAGGUGUGUGCAAUUAACUUAUAACAGAGUCAGAGAUUUCACUAAGCCAAAAAAUUAUUCCACCCACGGUGGCAGGGUGGGAGUAAUAACCCAUUGAGUGGCGAUGCACCCUACUUUAGCAUUUUACUCUGUCUAACGCCAGACAAUUUUACUCGUCAAGGGGAGAGCGCUGGCGCUUAAUGGGUUAAGAUGAAAAGGGAGGGAAAUAUUUGUAUAGUGCGCAUAAUUAUUGGAUGAUUUUAUAUCCAGACUCUAUAUUCGAUGUACUACGUACAUUAGGUUUUCAUAAAGAACAGUAGAUUAUCAUGGGGAUUUAUUUGAGAGGGUGUGCUUUUUAUACACAUGGUUGUUAACUGUCACAAACAUAUAGACUUUCUUUUUGCUGAAAGGCCUAUGACAAUGUUAAAUUAGUUAAAUUAUUGAGAGGGGG
Molecule: non-coding RNA, 530 nt
Organism: Paramuricea clavata
Lineage: Eukaryota; Metazoa; Cnidaria; Anthozoa; Malacalcyonacea; Plexauridae
Source: the annotation of a GenBank genome assembly